Molecule: ribosomal RNA, 497 nt
Filed under: uncultured bacterium
Lineage: Bacteria
Description: partial 16S ribosomal RNA
Rfam family: Bacterial small subunit ribosomal RNA
Source: RNAcentral
GAUGAACGCUGGCGGCGUGCCUAAUACAUGCAAGUCGAGCGAACAGACGAGGAGCUUGCUCCUCUGACGUUAGCGGCGGACGGGUUAGUAACACGUGGAUAACCUACCUAUAAGACUGUGAUAACUUCGGGAGACCGGAGCUAAUACCGGAUAAUAUAUUGAACCGCAUGGUUCAAUAGUGAAAGACGGUUUUGCUGUCACUUAUAGAUGGAUCCGCGCCGCAUUAGCUAGUUGGUAAGGUAACGGCUUACCAAGGCAACGAUGCGUAGCCGACCUGAGAGGGUGAUCGGCCACACUGGAACUGAGACACGGUCCAGACUCCUACGGGAGGCAGCAGUAGGGAAUCUUCCGCAAUGGGCGAAAGCCUGACGGAGCAACGCCGCGUGAGUGAUGAAGGUCUUCGGAUCGUAAAACUCUGUUAUUAGGGAAGAACAAAUGUGUAAGUAACUAUGCACGUCUUGACGGUACCUAAUCAGAAAGCCACGGCUAACUACGUG